GAUGAACGCUGGCGGCGUGCCUAAUACAUGCAAGUCGAGCGAACAGAUGAGGAGCUUGCUCCUCUGACGUUAGCGGCGGACGGGUGAGUAACACGUGGAUAACCUACCUAUAAGACUGGGAUAACUUCGGGAAACCGGAGCUAAUACCGGAUAAUAUAUUGAACCGCAUGGUUCAAUAGUGAAAGACGGUUUUGCUGUCACUUAUAGAUGGAUCCGCGCCGCAUUAGCUAGUUGGUAAGGUAACGGCUUACCAAGGCAACGAUGCGUAGCCGACCUGAGAGGAUGAUCAGCCACACUGGAACUGAGACACGGUCCAGACUCCUACGGGAGGCAGCAGUAGGGAAUAUUCCGCAAUGGGCGAAAGCCUGACGGAGCAACACCGCGUGAGUGAUGAAGGUCUUCGGAUCGUAAAACUCUGUUAUUAGGGAAGAACAAAUGUGUAAGUAAAUAUGCACGUCUUGACGGUACCUAAUCAGAAAGCCACGGCUAACUACGUG
Molecule: ribosomal RNA, 497 nt
Filed under: uncultured bacterium
Lineage: Bacteria
Description: partial 16S ribosomal RNA
Rfam family: Bacterial small subunit ribosomal RNA
Source: RNAcentral